UGGGAGCUUGCUCCCGGAAGACCAAGUGGCGAACGGGUGAGUAUUACGUGAGAAACCUACCCCGGAGUGGGGAAUAACCCGAGGAAACUCGGACUAAUACCGCAUACCUUCCGAGGAUCGCAUGAUCCACGGAAGAAAGAAUUUCGCUCUGGGAGGGUCUCGCGACCUAUCAGCUAGUUGGUGGGGUAACGGCCUACCAAGGCAACGACGGGUAGCUGGUUUGAGAGAACGAUCAGCCACACUGGAACUGAGACACGGUCCAGACUCCUACGGGAGGCAGCAGUAGGGAAUCUUGCGCAAUGGGCGAAAGCCUGACGCAGCAACGCCGCGUGCGGGAUGACGGCCUUCGUGGUUGUAAACCGCUUUCAGCAGGGACGAAAAUGACGGUACCUGCAGAAGAAGUCCCGGCUAACUACGUGCCAGCAGCCGCGGUAAUACGUAGGGGACAAGCGUUGUCCGGAUUCAUUGGGCGUAAAGAGCUCGUAGGCGGUCCAGUAAGUUGGGUGUGAAAGCUCCGGGCUCAACCCGGAGAGGUCACCCAAAACUGCUGUGACUAGAGUCCAGUAGAGGAGCGUGGAAUUCCUGGUGUAGCGGUGAANUGCGCAGAUAUCAGGAGGAACANCAGCAGCGAAGGCGGCGCUCUGGGCUGGAACUGACGCUGAGGAGCGAAAGCGUGGGUAGCAAACAGGAUUAGAUACCC
Molecule: ribosomal RNA, 700 nt
Filed under: uncultured bacterium
Lineage: Bacteria
Description: bacterial SSU rRNA
Rfam family: Bacterial small subunit ribosomal RNA
Source: RNAcentral